CCUACGGGUGGCAGCAGUGAGGAAUAUUGGUCAAUGGGCGGAAGCCUGAACCAGCCAAGUAGCGUGCAGGAUGACGGCCCUACGGGUUGUAAACUGCUUUUAUACGGGAAUAACGCGCCUUAUGUGUAGUGCUUUGCAUGUACCGUAUGAAUAAGGACCGGCUAAUUCCGUGCCAGCUGCCGCGGUAAUACGGAAGGUCCGGGCGUUAUCCGGAUUUAUUGGGUGUAAAGGGAGCGUAGGCCGCAUGUCAAGCGUGCUGUGAAAUGUCCGGGCUCAACCCGGGCCUUGCAGCGCGAACUGGCGUGCUUGAGGCCGCGGAAGGCAGGCGGAAGUCGGCGUGUAGCGGUGAAAUGCUUAGAUAUGACGAAGAACCCCGAUUGCGAAGGCAGCUUGCUGCAGCGGAACUGACGCUGAUGCUCGAAAGCGCGGGUAUCGAACAGGAUUAGAUACCCCAGUAGUC
This 460-nucleotide ribosomal RNA is filed under the name uncultured bacterium. RNAcentral's name for it is "partial 16S ribosomal RNA". It matches the Rfam family "Bacterial small subunit ribosomal RNA", at positions 338 to 795 of the family's 1533-position model. The record is from RNAcentral.